This 762-nucleotide small RNA is filed under the name Arabidopsis thaliana (thale cress). RNAcentral describes it as "ATSL265670". Lineage: Eukaryota; Viridiplantae; Streptophyta; Magnoliopsida; Brassicales; Brassicaceae. The record is from RNAcentral.
AUUCUUCUUAAUGCCUAUUGCUUUCUGAUCAACUGGAAUUUAAGCCCAGACAUUUCCACGCCCAAAAGGUGUUCGAUGAAAUGUCUGAACCACUAAUUCCAGAGAUUCGUGGCCCUGUACCAAGGUAUUGGUUGCAGGGAGGUUUUGGCUUUAACUUGUUAAUUCGUAAUGCCUGUUAGGUUAGCUCUCGUCAAUGGUGAUUGAGACUGGGACUAGGUUAACUUGAGGGUCUCUGUUGCGGUGGCACUUAGAUUUGGUUAAUGAACUUAUUGUCUAAGGAUAAUUUAUUGAGCAUAUCAAUCACCUGUAAACUGAGGAAACGAAACUACUCAAUUACCCCAUCCUUAGGAAUUCUUUAUCUUAUUGAAUUUAUUGUUUACUCUACUGUUGUUUACUGCAUCUUGUAAUAUGUUGCUUAGUUUCUGCAAUUCUUUCUUGUUACUCGACCUGAUACUCGACCACCCAGUUGUCUGGCAACAGACUGUGCAGUCAAGUAUCUUUGUUUCAUUUACUGUUGGUUACUCGACCUCACCUAGUGCUCUGCAAAGAGCUGUGUUGGUCGAGUGUCUUACUCUUUCUGCUUGAUUUUCUGUUUUCUGCAUGUUCACUCAGGACUGCUAGAACACACCAAAACCUGUUAUUGCUUGGCUUGACUUAGUGACUUCUGAUCACAUCUUGAUUGUUCGCAUCACACCCAUUUAGACUGACAACCUAAGAUACUACAACGACAUGAUUGGUGUUUUAGGAUAAUUGACUAAAAAU